RNAcentral lists this long non-coding RNA (915 nucleotides) under Phasianus colchicus (ring-necked pheasant). RNAcentral describes it as "lncRNA (ENSPCLG00000010653.1)". Lineage: Eukaryota; Metazoa; Chordata; Aves; Galliformes; Phasianidae. The record is from RNAcentral.
AUUAGGUACUUGUUAAAUACAAAAAUAUGUUUUUAUUUCCUCUGAUUAGAGAGUGAAAAGUUACCGUGUAAACAGGUUUCCAGGUACUUGGCUAAUGAUCACAAAAAUAUCUCUAUCUGCUUCUUAUAACAGACUCCUUUAUUUUUUCCUUUCAUUUGUGCAGGACGAAUGCUUCAGACAGAGGUCCUGGAAGGGAGAGGCCCCAGGGGAUCCUGGUCUGUCAGUCAGUCCAGGGUCAGGAACAGGGAACUCAUCUUGCUGCUGCUAUUGACUGGCUGUGUGACCUUGUGCAAACCACAGAUCCUCUGUGGGCCUCACUGUCUCGCCUUUUACUCCAUCUCAUUGAAAAAUAGUGAGAAGCACCGGUAUACCUAUAGAGAAUUCUUCUGGAUUUCUGCUGUGUUGUGUAUUGCUGUGCUGCAAGUCUACAUCAAGGGACCUUUUCACAUUACCUUGAUUUUGUCAGAUGGCUGCACACACAUCAACUGUGAUGCUUGCUACCUUGGUGAAAGAAAUAGAUGGAGACCUUUGCCUCUGAGAAGACCAUGUGAUGUAGCUGAGAGUGAGACCAAGUGAUCCAAGUACCUUACCUCAGAGCGUAGCAAGACAGAAGGAAAGCUGCCUGGGACUGGCUCCUGUGGCUUCCUUGGUCUUCAGCAUCUUGUGACAUCUUAUUCUCUUGACUGGAUCGAUGACGUCAGAGGUUCCUCGCUGCUCAUCUUAUCAUUUAUAUAAAUGCUGAAGGUGACUGCCCCACAGCAAUACUUCCAGAAUCUUUGCUUUAUCUUUAGUUAUUUCUGCUUCAUCAUUUUUUUAAAAUGAUAGAGGUGUAGUCUUCAGCUGAAUGAGACACAUGUGUUUUUGAAGGACUGUCAUAAAAAUCAUAAUAAACCAUAAAAUAUAACAACCUUGACA